AUUAGAAUUUCUUUAGUUUCCUCUCAAUCCCGUCUUUGAGUUUGGAAUUGGAUCUAUAAUAUUCUUGAAACUGUGUUGUAGCUUAUAAAAACUAAAGAGUAAUGUCACCUAAAGUGAUUUGUGUGGUUGUGUAAGACUGAGAGGAUCAUAGAGACACACUGCUGCCUGUCGUAUUCACGUAAUAAUUCCAUGAUCAUUGAGCUGCUGAAUAUAUGCCUCCAGACCAAUCCAACAGUAGACGAGUAGUGUCCCGCCGGUCCUGAACACGCCCUUAAACAACCUCCAAUGCUGACGAAAAUCUGGUGUGACUCAAGCGCAGAGGUUCCAAGACAAUGUCGUGUUUUAGUUUUAUUCACGUUAACUUCACUCUGACUCUCCAGCGACAGGCAACCCAAAGAAGCACAUCGUGGGGAUUCCUCUGGGUUGGAAACAUUUUACGUAUCCAUCUGUUUACAGUGAUAUAAAACAAAGAUGCAGCAGAUUCUUUGGAGAAGCUGGAAUCGGAACUUGCUUUAGCUUCUUAUUUUUGCUUGAUAAACAACCUAAAUGAUCAAUCAAUUAUCACAAAUCCUUUUUGAUGGAUUUCAGGAAUGACGUAUGUUGUACUGCUCUUUGCUUUCUUCCAGUUGAAAGAAUACAAGUUGCUGUAUUUCCAUAAUAUUCUGUACAGACAGUUUCAUGUUUUUGGUCGUGCAAGUUCCAGUGUGACCUUUUCCCUCAAAGACAGGCGAGGCAAGUGAGAAAAGAUGUUCCAGGUUCCUCUAAAUGUCAAACGUUAAGUACAGUGCAGGGAGACUCCCCGUGUCAGCUGUCAAGGAUUAAAACAUGUGUUUGGGCGGCUUGUCAAGGACCAGAAAAGAAGCCCAAGAGUCGCAGUCUGCAUGAUUCAUCGUGUGCAUUUGUUCGUAAUGUCAGACGGUAAACAUUUCAAACAGUGAGCUCAGGUCCUCAGAGGAAAGACGAUAGGUCGCUGGCACAAAAAAGCUCUGGAUGGGAGUUAUGGAUGUUUUGGCCCCUUUGAUUCACCAGCAGUCCUGCAUGCCAGAUGCCUUCAGUAGUCUCUAUGUUUGGAUUAAGAGAUAACCUCUCCAGCAGGCACAAAGCCUUGUGGUGUGGCUCACACAGAGUCUGAUUUAGCUAUGAAAUCACACCAUCAGUGUUUGGCAAAAGCUGUCGUGAAUGUUAUUGUCUUUUUAAUCCAUCAUGUGAGGUAUAUCCAGCAGACCUCAGCGGCUUGUCUCUCAUAAACUGAAAAACAGAGAAGCUGAACGGACGGAGAGAGACGAGGUCUGACGUAGGUCUGCUGCAGAACAUGACUUCAUUUUGGGUAACACUGUUUUUAAUAAUUUAUCAGAGGAGAGCUAGAAGCUGUUGUAGCAUCAGAUUUUGGCUCUUUUAUUAUAUAGUAGAACAAUUUAGAUAUGAAUAAGUGUUCCUGCAAUAUGUGUAAGAAAGCUGAUUUCUUUUCAAGAUUGCAAGACAAAAAUCAGCAGGUUAGUUUUCUUUUAAUAACUGGAGGCAUUUACAAGGUUUGAGCCUUUCUUAGGAAUUAUCUAUGAUAAAAUUCUUGAGAUACAGUGAUGUUAACUUGACCGAGAAAUAAUUACUUCCUUAACACGGAUACAGGAGGGGCUCGGAGCAGAAUCUAUCGUCAAACCCUCUUCAGUUAUUCAUAGAAAAGUACCACUGUAAUAUUCCAUUUUCAGCUGUGUGUUGAUAUGUGUGCAUAGGAACUAAAGUAGACCAUUGUCCAAAAUGUAACCAUGCAAAUUGUUGUUUAGACUAUCCCGUGUGUGUGCAGUACAGCUGUAGGAGCAAACAGGUGCACUUUAAGACAAGUGGUGGGAGAAAUUUCAGCUGUCAUCUGUCACGAUGUUAAUGAAACAGCUCCCCAAAGAGGAAGCACACAAGCUGAACCGGACGGUUGCUCUACCCCAGAGGAUUUGUGGGAACUCAUUUUUCAGGAAUAGCAAUGAUGCAACACGCAAAACACGCUUCAUCUUAUCUCCCAUUUGACCCACAAUUUGGAUGAAAAUGUUGCAUUUGCUGGCUGCAUCUGUUAGCAGAGAUUCCACAAGAGUGUGAUUAUGUUGUUAAAGUAGGUGGUUUCUCAUCUGUGCAGGUUUAUGAACCCUUCAUCACAGGCGGACCUGUCCAUUGGUCAAAGAGAGAUCAAACCCUUUAAUGUUACAGGCUUAAGAUGUGUAUAUUAAGGUUCGUUGUACACUCUGUGCUGACGACAAAGUACAAUCAAGAUUCAAAAACACAACGUCAAAUUUGAGGAAACAUUUGGAGUCGCUGCAGAAGGCUGCAGAUUAUUCUUCAGACUCUUUGCCCUAAAGUGGGUAGAAAGAGAAAUAAGAAUUAAUGAACGAGAGGAGAACAGGACUUGCAGGACUGAUGCAGUGAAAAUAUUUGCUUGUUGACCUGGGACUCGGCGAUGUCGGCACGCUCCUGAGCCUCCUCCAUCUCAUGCUGCACCUUCCUGUACCUGGUCAGGUGAGCGUUGGCCUGCUCCUCCUGUGAGGAAAUCCAACAACCAUCAAGACUGAGCAAACAGAGAUUUUCCUGAUUCUAACCUUCACUUUCAGCUGCAGCUUGUCCACCAGAUCCUGGAGUCUGAUGACGUUCUUCUUGUCCUCCUCAGUCUGCAGUAAACGUAAAUUCAUGAUUGAAAUGUUUAAUUUGAAGCUUUGCAUCAGACAACUGUACCAAUAAGAUAGAAAAAAAAGCCCUGCUGACCUGAUAGCCUCCAGUUUCUGGAGCUGCUUCUUGCCACCCUUCAUGGCCAGAUUCUCAGCCUCAUCCAGACGGUGCUGCAGGUCCUUCACUGUCACCUCCAGGUUCUUCUUCAUCCUCUCCAAAUGAGAGCUGGUGUCCU
Molecule: long non-coding RNA, 2881 nt
Organism: Acanthopagrus latus (yellowfin seabream)
Lineage: Eukaryota; Metazoa; Chordata; Actinopteri; Spariformes; Sparidae
Exons: 7
Source: RefSeq, a predicted model, not a curated record